GACGAACCGUGCAAACGUUGUUCGGAAUCACUGGGCUUAAAGGGCGUGUAGGCGGUAUGUUAAGUCUGGCGUGAAAGCUCUCGGCUAAACCGGGAGAGGUCGUUGGAUACUGACACACUAGAGGAUGGUAGAGGCGUGUGGAAUUCCGGGUGUAGUGGUGAAAUGCGUAGAGAUCCGGAGGAACACCAGUGGCGAAGGCGACACGCUGGGCCAUACCUGACGCUAAAGCGCGACAGCAUGGGGAGCAAACGGG
Molecule: ribosomal RNA, 253 nt
Filed under: uncultured bacterium
Lineage: Bacteria
Description: partial 16S ribosomal RNA
Rfam family: Bacterial small subunit ribosomal RNA
Source: RNAcentral